Molecule: ribosomal RNA, 633 nt
Filed under: uncultured Bacilli bacterium
Lineage: Bacteria; Bacillati; Bacillota; Bacilli
Description: bacterial SSU rRNA
Rfam family: Bacterial small subunit ribosomal RNA
Source: RNAcentral
AAAAAGAGGAGUGGCGAACGGGUGAGUAACACGUGGGUAACCUGCCCAUCAGAAGGGGAUAACACUUGGAAACAGGUGCUAAUACCGUAUAACAAUCAAAACCGCAUGGUUUUGAUUUGAAAGGCGCUUUCGGGUGUCGCUGAUGGAUGGACCCGCGGUGCAUUAGCUAGUUGGUGAGGUAACGGCUCACCAAGGCCACGAUGCAUAGCCGACCUGAGAGGGUGAUCGGCCACAUUGGGACUGAGACACGGCCCAAACUCCUACGGGAGGCAGCAGUAGGGAAUCUUCGGCAAUGGACGAAAGUCUGACCGAGCAACGCCGCGUGAGUGAAGAAGGUUUUCGGAUCGUAAAACUCUGUUGUUAGAGAAGAACAAGGAUGAGAGUAACUGUUCAUCCCUUGACGGUAUCUAACCAGAAAGCCACGGCUAACUACGUGCCAGCAGCCGCGGUAAUACGUAGGUGGCAAGCGUUGUCCGGAUUUAUUGGGCGUAAAGCGAGCGCAGGCGGUUUCUUAAGUCUGAUGUGAAAGCCCCCGGCUCAACCGGGGAGGGUCAUUGGAAACUGGGAGACUUGAGUGCAGAAGAGGAGAGUGGAAUUCCAUGUGUAGCGGUGAAAUGCGUAGAUAUAUGGAGG